ACUUCUUCUCCAAUUCAGCAGAUACGACGAUCCCUUCUUCCUCAAAAUCGUCGACGAUCUCUUCUUCCUCAAACUUAGACGACGAUCUCUUCGUCUCUCUCUCCGCCAGUCUCUCUCUUUCUCGCCUGUCUCUCUCUCCGCUUCUCUCUCUCUCGCCGUCUGUCUCUUUUCGCCUCUCUCUCCGCCUCUGUCUCUCGAACUAGAGCAAACCCAGGUGUGGAAAAUUGAGGUGAUGUUGAAGAAGUAUGUUGAUUGUGAAGAUGAUGGUGAUGUGAGAACAAUGGCUAGGGCGAUGCAAAAGAAGUUUGCAAAGUAUUGGAAUCAAUAUAGUGUGAUUCUAGCUAUGGGGGCUGCUCUAAAUCCGAGGUUGAAACUGGAUAUACUUCGAUCAGCUUAUCAAAAGAUUGACCCAAGGACUUCUGAGGAAAAGGUUCAAGUUGUUAGGGACAAUCUGAUUUUGCUUUAUGAAGAAUAUCAAAAAUCAGCAAAUCCUUCAAAGUUUUCUACAACAUUAACUCCACAUGAGCUUCUCACAUAGUCACCACUUGAAGAUGAUAUGGAUGAUGAUCUCUUUGAGCUUGAAAAUAGCCUCAAAUCUAGUUCAAGAAAUGCUAAGUCAAAUCUGGAAACCUAUUUGGAUCUUGAACCAAGACUAGAGAUGAAGACUUUUGAAGACAUGGAAGUUUUAAAUUUUUGGAAAUAAAAUCAGCAUCGAUAUGGCAAUCUUGCUUCAAUGGAAUCUGACUUACUGAGCAUACCCAUCACCACUGUUGCAGCUGAGUCAGCUUUCAGUGUUGCGUCCUUUCAGAAAUCGAAUUCUUCCCAAAAAUGUGCAAGCACUAAUUGCCACUCGAAAUUGGCUAAGAGGAUUUGAAGAGUUUGAAGGAAAUAUUGAAGAUUACUUCGAUGAUGAAGAUGAUGAAUCUGUAAAAAGUAGCUCAAAAGUUAGAGACUCUAGCACAUGAAGCAAGAUGAAGAUGUGGGGUUGUCAUUCUGUGACAAGGAAGUAAUAGAGUCAAUGACAAAUUGAAAAGAAAGAAGUCAUAUGCGUUAGAAGAGCCCAAGAGCAGAAGGAACCUUUAUCAAAAUAGAACUUUUUUACAAUUUUUACAAUGUCUUAGACUUGUUUUUUUUUCAAACUAAGUGUCGUGGUUUGCUAUUUAUAUAAGACUCAAACCUUUGAUUUAAUGUUAUUUGAUUUAACUUUUUAUAUGA
Brassica oleracea var. oleracea is the source of this 1215-nucleotide long non-coding RNA. RefSeq lists it as uncharacterized. The record is from RefSeq and is a predicted model, not a curated record. Lineage: Eukaryota; Viridiplantae; Streptophyta; Magnoliopsida; Brassicales; Brassicaceae. The transcript is spliced from 5 exons.